RNAcentral lists this ribosomal RNA (253 nucleotides) under uncultured bacterium. RNAcentral describes it as "partial 16S ribosomal RNA". It matches the Rfam family "Bacterial small subunit ribosomal RNA", at positions 524 to 776 of the family's 1533-position model. The record is from RNAcentral.
UACGGGCCGGACAAACGUUAUUCGGAAUCACUGGGCUUAAAGAGUGCGUAGGCGGCCAUGCAAGUUGGGUGUGAAAUCCCUCGGCUCAACCGAGGAAUAGCGCUCAAAACUGCAUGGCUUGAGGGAGACAGGGGUGAGCGGAACUGAUGGUGGAGCGGUGAAAUGCGUUGAUAUCAUCAGGAACACCGGUGGCGAAGGCGGCUCACUGGGUCUCUUCUGACGCUGAGGUACGAAAGCUAGGGUAGCGAACGGG